GCUAUCAUAGCUCAGUAGGUAGAGCGCAGCCUUGGUAAGGCUGAGGUCACGGGUUCGAUUCCCGUUGUUAGCUCCA
Molecule: transfer RNA, 76 nt
Filed under: Clostridium sp.
Lineage: Bacteria; Bacillati; Bacillota; Clostridia; Eubacteriales; Clostridiaceae
Also listed under: 4 other names
Description: tRNA-Thr
Rfam family: tRNA
About the family: Transfer RNA (tRNA) molecules are approximately 80 nucleotides in length. Their secondary structure includes four short double-helical elements and three loops (D, anti-codon, and T loops).
Source: RNAcentral